AAAAAUAUUUGAUGUUUUUUACUGGUAGUUUUAUCUUUGUAAUCAAAUAUUUUGGACGAAUCUUUCUUGAAGCUGUCAGAACAACAUCAACUUAGUUUUUGAAGCAAAGUCAGUUGUAAAGAAACAUUGUCAUCUUAAUAAAAACAAUUAAUGGAAUUACAUUUACAUCUACCUUCUGCCACAGUCAAUAUGAAUAAAUCCACCUUAUUCUGAAACAGUCAUUAAUUGUAAAAUAAUAAUCAUGAUAAACUAUUAAGAUUGUUAUAGUAUGUACUGACACAUUGUGUGUUGUACCGACACAUUGUGGGUUGUACUGACACAUUGUGUGGCAUGUGUUGUACACAUUGUGUAUUCUGAUAGAGAACAUAUUGACACAUUGUGUGUUGUACUGACACAUUGUGUGUUGUGCUGACUCAUUGUGUCUUGUACUGACUCAUUGUGUGUUGUACUGACUCAUUGUGUGUUGUACUGACACAUGUGUUGUACUGAAACAUUGUGUAUUCUGAUAGAGAACAUAUUGACACAUUGUGUGUUGUACUGACACAUUGUGUGUUGU
RNAcentral lists this long non-coding RNA (556 nucleotides) under Mytilus galloprovincialis (Mediterranean mussel). The record is from RNAcentral. Lineage: Eukaryota; Metazoa; Mollusca; Bivalvia; Mytilida; Mytilidae.